Acanthosepion pharaonis is the source of this 113-nucleotide non-coding RNA. Lineage: Eukaryota; Metazoa; Mollusca; Cephalopoda; Sepiida; Sepiidae. The record is from the annotation of a GenBank genome assembly.
UACAGCCAUAUCACAUUGUAACACUGGUUCCCAUAUAAUCACCGAAGUUAAGCAAAGUUGAGCCUGGUCAGUAGCUAGAUGGGUGACAGCUUGGGAAUAACAGGUGCUGUAAG